Lates calcarifer (barramundi perch) is the source of this 1142-nucleotide long non-coding RNA. RefSeq lists it as uncharacterized. NCBI's taxonomy places the organism in Eukaryota, Metazoa, Chordata, Actinopteri, Centropomidae. The transcript is spliced from 3 exons. The record is from RefSeq and is a predicted model, not a curated record.
CCCUGGCCUUGUCCACCAGCACCUCAGUGGUGUAGCUGAAUUUGUACAGCUGGUUGUUGUUCAGACGGGGCCCAGCAGCACCACCUGAAGAAACACGGGAAACACAGCUGAACUAUCCUCUCAGUAUAGUACUGAGGCGAUUGGAUCAGCGGCCGUUUGACUGGGUGUGUUCAAAGUGAGAGAAGAUAAAAAUCUCUCCUCUGCUCCAUUGAUGACGAGCUCUACGUUAGAUAUGACAUUACGCCACGUGUCAGUAUUUGAUUUCAUCACCGGCCGUUGAGGAGCGUGGAGCUGAAUUCAACAAAUAAAAAGCUCUGGGAUGAACAGUCGGCACUUUGUCGUUGUGUCCUGGCUGGAGGAAAUGGGCAGUCUGUCUGUGUGUGAAAGCAGCCCUCUGGCUCAAAUUACAGCAUCCGAGGAGGACCAAAAACUCAGCAGGUUUUCAUCUGAAGAGCAGGAGAUUUUUUAAAGAAAGCACAGACAUGUGUUAUAUGCAAUUAAACUCAAUUACAGCUGUGGAAGAUGCUGCAACUUUAAUCUGUUUAAUCAAAAUUAUUAACAGUGUUACUAGAAUGGUGUUCUAAUCAUCAUGUGUGUGUGUGUGUGUGUGUGUGUGUGUGUGUAGGUGGAUGAGUUUAUGAGGCUGAUUAAAGAUCCCAUCAGCUAAAGUGACCCUUGAGUCUGCCUCUUACAGGAGCCAGUACAAAUGAUGACAGCCUUAAUCAUUUAUUCAUCAGGAGGGGCAGCAGACAUUGCCCUGCUGUCUUUAUUUGGAUGAGAUAGAUGAAUGCUCACUCUAUCAUAACACUGUUGUAUGAUUCUACAGUUUAUCUGAUCUUAUUAUGGUUAGCUCUCAUCUCAUUUGAUGUAAAAGUGUUUAGUACCAAAGCAGCUUUAUGCCUUUUGAUAUAGGUUUGAUGAGACUGCUGAUGUUUUAAUGAUAUUUACAACAGACAAACUCAAAACCACUGAUCCGGCUAGAUUGUAAAUAACAUUGCAACUUUGUUAACACAGAGACGUAGUGGUAUUUUUAACAUCUUUGGACUGUGUUAGUGUUCUCACUUUAAUAUGUUAUCCAUUGGCUUGGUAUGUUCUGUGAAGAUCCAUAAAUAAAACAUUUGUAUUAUUAUUAUUAUUUUAAA